RNAcentral lists this ribosomal RNA (506 nucleotides) under uncultured bacterium. Its description in RNAcentral is "bacterial SSU rRNA". It matches the Rfam family "Bacterial small subunit ribosomal RNA", at positions 32 to 518 of the family's 1533-position model. The record is from RNAcentral.
AAUCAACGCUGGCGGCGUGCCUCAGACAUGCAAGUCGAACGCGAAAGUUUCCUUCGGGGAACAAGUAGAGUGGCGCACGGGUGAGUAACACGUAGGUAAUCUACCUUUGGAUGGGGAAUAACAACCGGAAACGGUUGCUAAUACCGCAUAAUGCAGCGGCACCUAAUGGUGACAGUUGUUAAAGCGGGGGAUCGAAAGACCUCGCGUCUGAAGAGGAGCCUGCGGCGGAUUAGCUAGUGGUAAGGUAAUGGCUUACCAAGGCGACGAUCCGUAACCGGCCUGAGAGGGCGGUCGGUCACACUGACACUGACAUACGGGUCAGACUCCUACGGGAGGCAGCAGUCGGGAAUUUUGGCAAUGGGCGAAAGCCUGACCCAGCAACGCCGCGUGAAGGAUGAAAUCCCUCGGGAUGUAAACUUCGCAAGAACGGGAAGAAUAAGCGAGAGUUAAUAUCUUUCGUGNUGACGGUACGUUGUAAGCUCGGCUAACUCCGUGCCAGCCGCCGC